Molecule: non-coding RNA, 30 nt
Filed under: Homo sapiens (human)
Lineage: Eukaryota; Metazoa; Chordata; Mammalia; Primates; Hominidae
Source: RNAcentral
UNCAAGAUACAGGUGCUCAGGUGUCACUCA